RNAcentral lists this transfer RNA (66 nucleotides) under marine eukaryotic metagenome. It matches the Rfam family "tRNA", at positions 5 to 66 of the family's 71-position model. Rfam says of the family: Transfer RNA (tRNA) molecules are approximately 80 nucleotides in length. Their secondary structure includes four short double-helical elements and three loops (D, anti-codon, and T loops). Further hydrogen bonds mediate the characteristic L-shaped molecular structure. tRNAs have two regions of fundamental functional importance: the anti-codon, which is responsible for specific mRNA codon recognition, and the 3' end, to which the tRNAs corresponding amino acid is attached (by aminoacyl-tRNA synthetases). tRNAs cope with the degeneracy of the genetic code in two manners: having more than one tRNA (with a specific anti-codon) for a particular amino acid; and 'wobble' base-pairing, i.e. permitting non-standard base-pairing at the 3rd anti-codon position. The record is from RNAcentral.
UUUGUAGCUCAGCUGGCUAGAGCAGCUGAUUUGUAAUCAGCAGGUCGUGGGUUCGAGUCCCUCCAA